Molecule: ribosomal RNA, 432 nt
Filed under: uncultured bacterium
Lineage: Bacteria
Description: partial 16S ribosomal RNA
Rfam family: Bacterial small subunit ribosomal RNA
Source: RNAcentral
AACGAACGCUGGCGGCAGGCCUAACACAUGCAAGUCGAACGAAGUCUUCGGACUUAGUGGCGCACGGGUGAGUAACACGUGGGAAUAUACCUUACGCUGGGGGAUAACAUCGGGAAACUGAUGCUAAUACCGCAUACGCCCUUCGGGGGAAAGAUUUAUCGGCGAAAGAUUAGCCCGCGUCCGAUUAGCUAGUUGGUGAGGUAAUGGCUCACCAAGGCUCCGAUCGGUAGCUGGUCUGAGAGGAUGACCAGCCACACUGGGACUGAGACACGGCCCAGACUCCUACGGGAGGCAGCAGUGGGGAAUAUUGGACAAUGGGCGCAAGCCUGAUCCAGCCAUGCCGCGUGAGUGGUGAAGGCCUUAGGGUUGUAAAGCUCUUUCACCCACGACGAUGAUGACGGUAGUGGGAGAAGAAGCCCCGGCUAACUUCGU